Non-coding RNA from Zea mays, 196 nucleotides. Lineage: Eukaryota; Viridiplantae; Streptophyta; Magnoliopsida; Poales; Poaceae. The record is from Rfam.
UUACCUUUCUCGACCUUUUGGCUAAGAUAAAUUAUAAUAUUUGUUUUUACCAGUUUAAUAUCUAAUAUGUGAACCAUAUGACCACUUUGAUAUUAAAUUUACUUUUAUAGUUAUUGUUGGGGGCCUUCCUCAUCCGAAGGUCCUAAAAAACGUGACUAACAUAUUUUUUAGUGUAAUAUAGACUGCUGCAGGAAGC